Molecule: ribosomal RNA, 421 nt
Filed under: uncultured bacterium
Lineage: Bacteria
Description: partial 16S ribosomal RNA
Rfam family: Bacterial small subunit ribosomal RNA
Source: RNAcentral
AAUAUUAGACAAUGUGGGCAACGCUGAUCCAGCAAGGCCGCGUGUGUGAAGAAGGUCCUCGGAUGGUAAAGCCAUGUAAGUUGGGAGGAAGGGGUUAAGGUUAGUACGGUGAAGUUUUGACAUUAUCAACAGACUAAGAACCGGCGAACUUUGUGCCAGAAGCCGCGGUAAUACAGAGGGUGCAAGCGUUAAUCGGAAUUACUGUGCGUAAAGCGCGCGUAGGUGGUUCAGUAAGAUGGGUGUGAAGUCCCCGGGCUUAACCUGGGAACUGCUUUCAUAACUGCUGAGCUAGAGUACGGUAGAGGGUAGUGGAAUUUCCUGUGUAGCGGUGAAAUGCGUAGAUAUAGUAAGGAACACCAGUGGCGAAGGCGACUACCUGGACUGAUACUGACACUGAGGUGCGAAAGCGUGGGGAGCAAAC